GCCGAGCUAGCCAAGUUGGUCACGGCACGCGCCUGAAGAGCGUGGGAUCUCGGUUCGAUUCCGAGGCUCGGCA
This 73-nucleotide transfer RNA is filed under the name candidate division WWE3 bacterium CSP1-7. RNAcentral describes it as "tRNA-Phe". It matches the Rfam family "tRNA". Rfam says of the family: Transfer RNA (tRNA) molecules are approximately 80 nucleotides in length. Their secondary structure includes four short double-helical elements and three loops (D, anti-codon, and T loops). The record is from RNAcentral. Lineage: Bacteria; candidate division WWE3.